GGCCGCUGCUCUCAGCCAAUCGGAGCUCAGUGGCUCACCUGUCGUGCUCCGUCUUGCAGGUGUGGGUGUUGGACUACUUCGGCGGCGUGAAGGUCGUCUCUCCGGAGGAAUACUUCCAGGCACCGCCGUUCAAACACCACUGAUCGGAGCGGCCGCUUCUGUAGUCCUAAAGAUCGGCGCCUCCAGAACCGUGUGACAACCCAAGCCUUCCUCAGGAACUCCAGUUUGUUCUUUAUUAACUUUGUCUCAUCACUCGUUUAAAAGCUUUACAUCAAAUUUCUUUUUAUUCUUUAAAUUUCAUCACUUGUUUCUACUUGACAGAAAAAAAAAGAUAGAAUCUGAUUUGUUCAUUUGAUUGGAGCUGAACGUUGCCGUUGGCCGGUCAGGACGGAGGUCAGUGUGAGGCAUGACGUGUUCUUCAGCUGUGUGAGGUGUGUGUCGCUGUUCAGUUUGACAUGAAGAAGCGCUGCUGGACUCCAACCAGCUGAACACCUCUUCUUCCAACAAACCUGCUUUUCAUUUGGGCCGUUUGAUUCCAGCUCCGCUUUUUUAUUUUAAAUGUAUUUUUCCAGUGAUAAUCAGUAUUUUUUUAAAGCAUUGUGUUCACGUUGCUGCAGAAAACCUGCUUCAGCGACCUUUAUCCAAUUAUACGCACAAGAAACCAGUUCUUAGUCUGAAAACUGACGAAAAAGGAGCGUUUGGGGGCGGGGCUGUCUGAAGUGGGCGGGGCUGUCUGAAGUGGGCGGGCCAUAGAUAUGUCUAAUAAAGGCUAGAUGUCUUAAGGCGGUGUUUUGAACGGGAUCACCGGUGGCCAUCUUGCCCCGGGGCAGCUCUCUGGUAGAACCUGUGGUCCAUGAAGGAAGGCGAGGGAUCUGCACAAACGUAGAUACUCUGAUCUCGCUGAAAUCUGGACGGAUUUACAAAUGGUUUGGUUUCUUCCAAACAUUCUUAACGUGGCUACAAUUCAAGUUAUGAUGAGAUAUAAUAAUUUAUAAUAUAUAUCAUGAUGAUCCCAAACUUUUGACCAGAAGUGUACCAUCAUUAUCCGUCAGUGCAGAGUUACAACUACACCUCUGACGUUUAGAACAAACCAAACCGUUUGGAAAUCGGUAGAAAACUGAGCAAGUUCUGGUUCUUUAAAAAGUCCAUGCACCUCUACAGCACAAUGUUAUGGGUGAGCGAGUGGACCGGACCAAGAUGGCCGCCAGUGUGGCUGUGAGAUUCCAUUGGCCGACAGGGCGGAUGAGACAUCUUGCCUUUAUUAUAUGUAUACAUGGGCGGGGCUUUCUGGGGUGGGCGUGUCGCUCUGAUGUGGGCGGGGCGUUCAGAUGUGGGUGUGUUGCUUUGAUGUGGGCGGGGCUUUCUUGGUGGGCGUGGUGUUCUGAUGUGGGCGGGGCGUUCUGGGUGGGCGCAGCGUUCUGGGUGGGCGUGGUCUGUGUGUUUUGGUCUUCAGGACUUUGACGGUGCACUUUGAAUAAAACGCUCAGUUUGCUGUGGAAUGUGAUUCUUUAUUUUUCUGGAAGCAAUAAUUUGUAUAAAUAAAGAUUUGAGUGAACAACAA
This is a long non-coding RNA of Stegastes partitus (bicolor damselfish), 1561 nucleotides long. RefSeq lists it as uncharacterized. The record is from RefSeq and is a predicted model, not a curated record. The transcript has 2 exons. Lineage: Eukaryota; Metazoa; Chordata; Actinopteri; Pomacentridae.